CAUGCAUAUGUAUAACCCACAAUUGUAUUGGUCAGAGUUAAAUUGCAGAGAACAUAAUUUAUUCAGCUAUUAAAAGCAGAGAGGGUAUUUUUAGGUAUUCAGUGUUGAGACAGAUUUAUUGUAAUAAUAGCCCCACAUUUUCUUUCCUCCUUUACAAUUUGUCUUUGUAACUCCUCCCCUCAAGAGAUUGAGUCUGUUUCCCUACCUCCUGAAUCUGGGCUCGCCUUUUGGCUUGCUUUGGCCAAUGGCAUGUGGCAGAAGUGAUAGUGUGCUGUUUCUAAACCUAAACUUCAAAAGACCUUGCACACUUUGCUCUCCCUCUUGGUAGCUUCCUCUCCCAUGAGAAUAAUCCAGGCUGGCCUGUUGGAAGGUGAGGGAGCAGUGAGAGUUGUCCUAGCUGAGGUCAUCUGAGACCAGCUGACCACAAGUACUUGAGCAAGCUCAGCGAGGUCAGCCAAACUCAACUUAGACUAUUAGCACUGGCCGGCUGACCCCACAGACUCAUGAGCAGUAAUAAAUGGUUAUUUUUAAGCUGCUGCCAUUUGGAGGGUGUUUGUUAUACAGCAUUAUUGUGGCAAUAGAUGACUGACACAGAGUGGCUUACAAAAUCCUUAGGAAGGCAAAAGAAGUAAAUUCUAGGGCCACAUCAUAGCAUAGACUCACUAAUGCCAGGAGUUGUUGAACCAGGAGAUUCUUGGCUAAGUUAAUAAACCACUGCUGUAAACCCUGGCUCCAGAACUCCAUCACUGCUGUGGUGAUCAGGGAGGGACUGCUGGAGCUGGUUUCUCAGAACCAUGCUCCUCUUGCUCCUGCAUGACUUAACACCAUCAAAACAGGGGCCCGUGCCUUGCUUUUCUCUCAUUUAAUUUAGUUUAUGCAAGUGCUUCUCAUCAGCAAAGUGUAAGUUAUACCUGACCUUCAGCUGUGAAGGGGCCUAGUGUCAAAGGGACUUUCAGCUUUCUAAUUUCUGUAACACAUGAGAAGGAGGCUGGAGUGGAUUUGCAGUGUCAGCCUCAGUAUCUGCCACAGCUCUAAUGGUCUUGAACAAGCAGGAUUCCUAAACCCUAUUCUGUAAGUUGUGCUCAGUGAUAUUGAAACAAUUUCUUUAAAUUCAUAUAUGCAGUAUUUUACAAUUGGGCAAAUCACUCUCUGUAGGGUCAAACAUUAUUAAUUCCAUUACUGGAAGUUGAGAGACUGAUGGAUGAACAUAGUACUAAGAUUUUAUGAACUCAUUGUUCCACCCAAACCCACAUGAAUGAGUUUUAAAGGGAACCAACAAUUAUAAGUCAUUAAGGAGAGGAAAACUGAUUGAUGUUUUGAAAAAUUCUUAGUCCUGUAUUGAUAUUUGAUAGAGCAUUACUAAUAUAACAGUGAUUUCAGAAGGAAUAAUAACAGACAUUUGGUAUUGACCUAAAGUUCUUAAAGUGCCAUACACUAUGUGAUAAAAGAAUAUUUAAUAUUUUUUUUUUUUGGUGUAGAGAUUUAGAAGGUUCUUAGGAAGACCGUGUCUUCUUAUCUGACCUUAAGAUGUCUGGUUUUAAGUGGUAAGAGAAUUAAUGCUUCCCAAUCUAACGAGUUAGCAAUUCCAGAAAAACCUGUGUCCCUGUGGAUACUUUCAUAAGGAUGGUGAUUUAAGACAAUAAUCACUGAAGAAAAGGGAAGGCAAUUUUUAGAUAACAGAAUUAUCAACAGUGAAGGUAUUAAAAUGAAAAUAAUUUUGUGGCUUCAUAUUUUGUUCCCUGUGUCUUGUUCAGCAGAGGUACAUGUUAUUAUGGUAUGUGAGGCCUACAGUGGCUUAUGCCUUACUAAGAACUGCUUUCUUUAUUCAGUCAUGUCCUUGUAAGGCUAGGAGUCCCUGGAGAUCACCAAAAAAAAAAAAAAAAAAAUAGUACUUGUUGUCAGGAGAACCUGCAGUCCCUCCAAAGGUGCCCCAUUGAUUCAAAAGCCAGAUACUACUUUGUCAACAAAGGCAUCCCAUGGUGAAAAGUCUGGAGGAUAACUUGCCCUUGGCUCAUUGUUGUGCAAUCAGAAAUUCAUUCAUGUGAGGAAAAAGCAGUUAAAACUGAUGGAAAAACGCCAAAGAAAGCGACUGUCAGACUGAUUGCUUUUUGGCAGAGGCUGAGAUCAAGAUUUACCAAGGAAAGCCCACCUAAAUAUGACCCAAGAGGAAGUGACAGAGUUCAAGAGCAUUACUAAGCCUGGAUACUGGAAUUUCAGUUACCUUGCAAGAUAUCAGGUGCCUCCUUCAAAUGAAUUUUUAAGUAUCUCCGUGAUGAUGAGGAAGAACAGGGACAUCAAUUAGGAUUCAGGAAGACAAGUCUUUGCAGAAAAUGCUUAGAGCAUCAAGGACUGCUAUUAAUAUUUGGAAGUUUAAAAGAGAGUAUAUUUUCCUCAGUCAACAAAUGACAAAAGUAAAGGCAUGGUUUUCAUUGUUUCUGGAAGAAGCCUGGCAGCAUUCCAUUCAGACAUCUGCCCUUUGAUCGUUCUAUUUUCCUCUUUACUUAUUUCAGUCCUUCUAAUCUUCAAGGCUGAGUCUGAAUAUUUCUUCCUGAGGCUUCUUCUAAUCAUCUCGGCCUUUAAGGACAACUCCCUCCUUCAACUCCUAUAGUCCUUACUAUUAUACAUGUCAUUUGAAAAUUUAGUACCUAUACAUUAUACUAUGAUUGAAUAAAUGUUCAUCU
Lutra lutra (Eurasian river otter) is the source of this 2681-nucleotide long non-coding RNA. RefSeq lists it as uncharacterized. The record is from RefSeq and is a predicted model, not a curated record. NCBI's taxonomy places the organism in Eukaryota, Metazoa, Chordata, Mammalia, Carnivora, Mustelidae. The transcript is spliced from 3 exons.